UGGGGAAUAUUGGGCAAUGGGCGAAAGCCUGACCCAGCAACGCCGCGUGAGGGAAGAAGGUUUUCGGAUCGUAAACCUCUGUCCUCAGGGAAGAAAAAGAUGACGGUACCUGAGGAGGAAGCCCCGGCUAACUACGUGCCAGCAGCCGCGGUAAUACGUAGGGGGCGAGCGUUGUCCGGAAUGACUGGGCGUAAAGGGCGCGUAGGCGGCCUUAUAAGUUUGGAGUGAAAUCCCCGUUUUCAAGAUGGGGACUGCUUUGGAUACUGUAAGGCUUGAGUGCAGAAGAGGUAAGUGGAAUUCCCAGUGUAGCGGUGAAAUGCGUAGAGAUUGGGAGGAACACCAGUGGCGAAGGCGACUUACUGGGCUGUAACUGACGCUGAGGCGCGAGAGCGUGGGGAGCAAACA
This 405-nucleotide ribosomal RNA is filed under the name uncultured Bacillota bacterium. RNAcentral describes it as "uncultured Firmicutes bacterium partial 16S ribosomal RNA". It matches the Rfam family "Bacterial small subunit ribosomal RNA", at positions 355 to 774 of the family's 1533-position model. Lineage: Bacteria; Bacillati; Bacillota. The record is from RNAcentral.